AUGGGAGGAGCACUUCUUCUCCCUCUGCUCUCUCUGCUCUGCUUCGGCUUCCUCAAAGGAGCAAGGCCUUCGACGUUCACAGUGAAGAACAACUGCGCCUAUACUGUGUGGCCGGGCAUCCUCUCCAACGCCGGCGUGGCGCCGCCGUCCACCACCGGCUUCGCGCUCUCCCCGGGCGAGUCCCGUGCCGUGGCCGUCGCCGAUGGCUGGUCCGGCCGCAUGUGGGGCCGCACGCUCUGCGUGCAGAGCUCCUCCUCUGGCGCCGGCUUCGCCUGUGCUACCGGUGACUGCGGCUCUGGCACAGUCGAGUGCUCCGGCCGCGGCGCCGCUCCGCCGGCCACGCUGGCCGAGUUCACGCUCGCUUCCAUCGGAGGCGACGACUUCUACGACGUGAGCCUCGUCGACGGCUUCAACCUGCCGGUGCUGGUCGCGCCGGCAAACGGGAGCUGCCCGACCACAGACUGCCCCACCGAUCUGAACGCGCAGUGCCCGCCGGAGCUGCGCGUCAUCGUGGCCGGCGCGACGGUGGCGUGCCGGAGCGCGUGCGAGGCGUUCGGGACGGAGGCGUACUGCUGCAACGGCGCGCACGGGACGCCGGCGGCGUGCGCGCCCACGGGCUACUCGCGGCUGUUCAAGGCCGCGUGCCCGCGCGCCUACAGCUACGCCUACGACGACGCGACGUCCACGUUCACGUGCGCCGGCGGCAGUGCCGGCUACGGCGUCGUGUUCUGCCCCGCCGGCGGGUCGAGUGGGAACGAGGCAUCGCCACCGACCAGUGCCGCCUACCCACCAAUGGUGUUCUCGUCUGGGGGCGCAGAUCCAGCGACAACCAGGCAUGCCGUCACCCUCCUUCCCCUCCUCACGGCCAUCUUUCAAGCGAUGACGACGAGGUGA
This 894-nucleotide ribosomal RNA is filed under the name Triticum aestivum (bread wheat). RNAcentral's name for it is "partial small subunit ribosomal RNA". Lineage: Eukaryota; Viridiplantae; Streptophyta; Magnoliopsida; Poales; Poaceae. The record is from RNAcentral.